This 493-nucleotide ribosomal RNA is filed under the name Lysinibacillus fusiformis. Its description in RNAcentral is "bacterial SSU rRNA". It matches the Rfam family "Bacterial small subunit ribosomal RNA", at positions 17 to 492 of the family's 1533-position model. The record is from RNAcentral. Lineage: Bacteria; Bacillati; Bacillota; Bacilli; Caryophanales; Bacillaceae.
UCCUGGCUCAGGACGAACGCUGGCGGCGUGCCUAAUACAUGCAAGUCGAGCGAACAGAAAAGGAGCUUGCUCCUUUGACGUUAGCGGCGGACGGGUGAGUAACACGUGGGCAACCUACCCUAUAGUUUGGGAUAACUCCGGGAAACCGGGGCUAAUACCGAAUAAUCUCUUUUGCUUCAUGGUGAAAGACUGAAAGACGGUUUCGGCUGUCGCUAUAGGAUGGGCCCGCGGCGCAUUAGCUAGUUGGUGAGGUAACGGCUCACCAAGGCGACGAUGCGUAGCCGACCUGAGAGGGUGAUCGGCCACACUGGGACUGAGACACGGCCCAGACUCCUACGGGAGGCAGCAGUAGGGAAUCUUCCACAAUGGGCGAAAGCCUGAUGGAGCAACGCCGCGUGAGUGAAGAAGGUUUUCGGAUCGUAAAACUCUGUUGUAAGGGAAGAACAAGUACAGUAGUAACUGGCUGUACCUUGACGGUACCUAUUAGAAAGCC